CCGCCCGUCACACCAUGGGAGUUGAUUGCUCCAGAAGUGCCUGAGCUAACCGCAAGGAAGCAGGGUCCCAAGGAGUGGUCGAUGACUGGGGUGUA
RNAcentral lists this ribosomal RNA (95 nucleotides) under uncultured bacterium. RNAcentral describes it as "partial 16S ribosomal RNA". It matches the Rfam family "Bacterial small subunit ribosomal RNA", at positions 1390 to 1484 of the family's 1533-position model. The record is from RNAcentral.